Long non-coding RNA from Cavia porcellus (domestic guinea pig), 3827 nucleotides. RefSeq lists it as uncharacterized. The transcript is spliced from 2 exons. NCBI's taxonomy places the organism in Eukaryota, Metazoa, Chordata, Mammalia, Rodentia, Caviidae. The record is from RefSeq and is a predicted model, not a curated record.
GCUCGCCGCGGCCCCCGCUUUGUCUUCCAGAAGAGCGGGGCGCGGGCCUCGGGUACCCGAGCACCGCCGAGGUAGACAAAGGAUGCACUCCGUGUGGCAGAUGCCGGUCCAAGUUGUCUGCUUUAGUGGACUGCGAAUGCAACCUGGGGCGGAAAAUCCUCUCUGUGGAGCGUCCCCGCCCUCCUGAACAAUGGGGGCCCGCGCGGCUCCAAUACAAGGGCUCUUGGGGGGAGGGGGAUUGAGGUUGCAGCCCGGGAAGGGCUAGCGGAGCAGUGGCGAACAUGUCGAGCUUGGCAUUCCUUGUACCGCCCGUGACAGCUCGGCCCAGCGAGGUUUGCGCUGCCCUUCCAUUUCAGAGAUGAGGAAACUGAGGCCCUUGCUCUGAGAGACCCUCCUGACACAAAACCCACAUCCUCCCCAGUCACCUGCUGUGGGCCAGGCUGGACAUGAGAUCUGGAGAGCCAUCAAGAGCAGAAGGUGCAAACUUAUUUUGUGGGUGGGUAGAUUGACAUGCACACUUUACUCCAGGUCCUGGGGAGGACAGAAUUACACGAGACUGAUUCUUAGCUUUAUGUCUCCCUUGCUGAGUGGUUUUGUGGCCGGGGCGCCGUUUUCUCGCCACUAAAUGGAGAUGAUGGGACGCAUCCCACCUUGCUCACAGAGCUGUUGUGAGGAUUAAAUACUGUGCGUAAAAGGCUCUACCUACUGUCUGGCCCACUAUUGUAAACCUUCAUUAAUGCUAACACCCUUCUGUGCACUGUGUCAGGGCAAGCCUAAGGUUAGCAAGCUUCCGGAGAUCUCAGCCCUGCUGUCUCUCUGGGGAGAGACUCCUGCCUGUUGCAAGGAUUGGGGUGGGGCUGAUAGCACAGCUUGACCCUGGAUGACAUUAAAACCCAGAUAAAGCUGGAGAUCAGGCACGCAGCCUUGCACCAUCCGCCCAGGAUCGAGCUAGGUCAGGCGCUUCUGUCUUGGCUGAGCGGCUGAGUGGCUUCCAGGGGCAGUCUGGCAGGGUGAGCCUGUCAUCUGACAGGUUUAAUCCUGGCCUCUGCCUCUUCGCUAGACCAGUCCUGGCCUCUCUUGUGUGAUGCUUGCCUUUGUACCUGGUUUCCCAUUAAUAAUUAGCCUCCAACCAGACCUGCAGAAUAAGAUUUGUGUGUGAACUUGUAUAUGUUAAGAAAAGCAUGUACUAAUUUGCCUGCAGGAAUAGUGGGUGGGAAGAGAUAUGUAUGUGCUUGUAUACCAAAGCACAAACAUGUUAGUAAGUCUGUGUGUAUGAGUAUUAUAUGUAUCUGUGUGAGUCUAGGGAGAUAGAUACUUGGGAGCCAGUAUCUACUUUCACAAGUGCCUUAAUCUGUGCAUGUUUGUUCGUCUUUUUUUGUGUGUGAGUUUCCCCUGUUUUUGCACUUGUGGUUAUCUCUGGGUGUGUCUCAAUAGGUCUGUCUAUGUCUGUAAUGGGGUAAGAGAGAAGGGUGUGUAAGUGUUCUGGUUUCAAGACCAAUAUUUAGCAAGCACUAAACAAGGUUCUGUUUUUACAUCUCUGUAGGAAGGGAGUGGACAUGACAUGCCCCUUCCCUGCAUUCUCCGGCAGAUUCUUCUGAGCUCUGUAGCCCCAACCAAAGUACCACAUUCUCUAAAAGAUUUCUCUGGAUUUCUGAGUGGGAAUUAAUUUCUCCUUCCCCAUUUCUCCAUUGUCCUUUGUUCAGUCAUUGAUUAUAGCCUUGACCUAUCAAUCUACCUCGUCCCUGUGUCUUCCUCGACUAAGGAUAAUUUUCAGAAAUAAAAUGGAACAGGAUAAAUUGAACUGCCCACAUUGCUUUUUCUCACAAGCAUACAUCAUCUGUCUCUUCCAUCAGGCUCUCAGUGCCUAGCAGGAGCAAUACAAUGUGAGCCCCAAUCCCUGCUGACUAAAUUGAAAAGAGAUCCUGUGGUGCGGACAGGAAGAGCUUGUGUCUCUGGAGUCAGACUGAGUCAUGACUCUGCCAACUAUGUAACCUUGGAGGUCCGCUCUCUGAGGCUGUUUCCCCUGAGCUGCAGUUUCCUCAUCUAUAAAAUGGGACCAAUAAAUCUUUUCUCACAUAAUUGAACUGAGGAUUUAAGAGAACAUUUUUAUAGAGCCUGACCCCCAGACAUCGCUCAAACUGUGUAGACUCACAUUUCAGUAAUAUCAUUGCCGACUUUGAGCCUUGUUGGCUAAAGGAUCAAAGCAGAAACCUCUGCUUCAUAACCUUCCCAUCAGGUGAUACACCCUGACAGUUGCCCUACUAGGUAUUUCCAAAUGAUACCUAAAACUGCUGGGUUGGCCGUGAGCUGCACUGUAUCACAGAUUCUCAGGCAACUGGGGAGAAAAGCUGAUGCAGCUUCUUUGCCAGAAGAAUCACAGCAAAGGCCUGGAAGACCUUGCAGUGUGAUCCAGGCCAGCUCUGCCUCAGGGCGUAGAAGACCCACCCUAGGGUGAUUCAUCACCUGGAUGGCAUAAAAGAGAAGGAGGAAGGAUGCAUGAGUUUCAUUCUUCAGAGGGCUCCAGUCUCCACCUUCAACUUGGAUGUCAUCUUCUGGCUUCCAGUGCAGAUUGUUCAGCUUCUGUCUUAGAUCCUUCAGCCUUCUGGCAUAGAUUCUCCAGCCUUUUUUUCACAGACCCAUUGGCCUACUGGUGCACACCUGCAUGGGAUACAGCAGUGAACUCCAGACCUUGGGUUGACUCCUUCAGCCUCUGGUAUGCAGACACCCUCUGCACACUUCCUCAUCCAACGCUUUGGCUGACCAUCGUAAGCCUAUCUUGAAAUGUCUUAUACAUUUGUAUAUCUUGUGUUAUAUCUGUUUUCUCUAGUAAAUGACUCUGACUAAUACAGUGGGUAAACAGUUAAGUAAUUUGUAGAUUAAGAUAAUUGCCAGAAAAGAAAUUGAAAGGGUGUUUGGACACAAAAUAACUGAGCGACACCCCCUUAGGCUGGUCAUGGAAAGCCUCUCUGGUGGUAACAGCCUAACUAAAAUCAGAAGGAGCCAACUCCACAACAACCAGAACAAACUGCAAUUGUAAGACUUGGAAGAGAAAAAGAAGCAGAGAGAAGAUGAGAAUAAGUGAAGCAUCAUAAGUGAAGCGGAGAGAUUCAUGGACUACAGGGGAAGAGAAUAAGAAGUCACCAAGAAGCAAGCCCCCUCUGUGAAUCAGUGGGCUAGGAAACAGGAAGAGACACCUUACCCCACCUUCACCCCUCAAAAGCAACUGGCUGAUCCAGAGAAACACAGGCUGCAAUGAUAACUACUGAGGUAAAAUACAAUUUAAUAGUUGUAGUGUUUAGUGUUUCACUGACUUUGCAGGUCUAAAGCCCGUAGUCUGAUCAUCUAUUCAGAGGACAACAAUAUGCAAUGUAGCAUCUAUGGGAGAUCUCCUGUUAGCCACUGUUAAUUCCCUAUUAUCUUGUUUUGAAGUCCUGUAUCAUUUUAAUUGUUUUGUUGGGUUGGGCUUUAUUAUGUUUUGUUUUGUUUGAUUUUAUUAUAUCCAAUGGCAUGGGCAACUGUUUCAAGGAUUACAAGACAUAAUUAUGAUACCCAUUUUGGAUUUAUUAUUAUCUUGUUUGGAAAUCCUUUAUUGCAUUCAUUGUAUUGUUUUUAUUGGUUCUGUUCUUUUCUGUUUUGCUUGAUUUUUCCUAUGUCUGAAGGUAUGGGCAGCUAUUUUGAAGACAACAGGAGGCAUUAUAGUAACCAUUGUUGAUUUCAUAUUGUUUUGAAGUUCUGUGUCACACUGGUUUGUGUUUACUGGCGUUAUUGUUUUAUUUUGCUUGGUUUUCUUCUCUUUAAAAUAAAAAUAAAUUUUAAAAAAAAGUGAA